GUGGCGCUGUCCAGCGGAAUGCGCGCUCCCACAGACGCGCUCUCGGAUAUUUCGAUCGGGAUGACGGCACGGGCGAACUGUGGCGCGUUGUCGUUGAUGUCAAGCACGUCCACCUCCACGUGAAACAGCUGCAGGUGCUCCGUGGGCAACGGCUGGGUCUGUCUCCCUGUCGUAACAGAGGAUGGCUUCCAGUGCCUGCAGCCUGGUUCUCGGGUCUGCCUGUGUGAGCUUUUUUUUCUUCUUCUUGGUGGGUGAGCGCACAAGGAAUGAACGGGCAAAGAGGAAGCCGGAGAAUAUGAUGGAGGAGGAGGGGUGCAAGGAUGGCUGCUUCAAAGAGAGACCUCCAGCGAUGUGCCUGAGGUUCCCAUCUGUCAGCAAGUGGGGUGGGAGGAGACGAGUUGGCUGUGAAGCAUCAUCAUCAGCAGUGUACUGAAGCCAAUCCCGAACUCCACCUCGUCGCCAGAUUGACUUUAGCAGUCACGCUGUCAGUCGCUUCUCGCUCGGAUCACUACUACUGCACGCAAAUCUCCACGCCUGUACUCCUGUCCGGAAUCUCCACGCCUGCUUCGUUGCCUGCACUCCUGUCCGCUGAAAUCGUCACCUGACCCAGAACUCACACCGCAAGACAUUGCUGCCUGCCAGAGUGCCAGUCUCCUAACCCUCUGGACAUUCGUUGAACUAAAUAAACUCUGAAUUCUGACCUGCCUUUCUGUAUCUGCUCUUGGGUCCCCUCCUGCACCGCAAACCGUAACAGUUCGAUCUGGCCAAAGAAUGGACCCCGCAGAGACGGAACGCCUUAACGGACAAGCGGUUCUGUUAGAACAACAUGAUCAAGCUCUCCAUCUACUCCUAGGCAAGGAGGAACUACAGGACAUCAGGUGUCACAGCACUGACUCCAGCUGGUGUCAUUUGCGAAUCGUAUGCAAUCAGAUACGCUCAUACUGUCCGAGGUCUGAGUGCAGUGUGUCACGGAUCUAUAGUACGUGUGUCACUGAAGAUUUGCUUUUGUACCCGGAUGGGUGUGUCUGAGGGAUGAGUAAGUCAUGUCUUCUUCUCUGUUGAUCCCUCUGUGAGUGCAGGUAGUACAGCCUUUUUUUUUUUUUUGUGGAUAAAUUCAAGUUAGAAGGUAUGGACAAUGUGGGAGAGUGCUACCUGAGAGCACAUUUUCCCCCAAGGACGAGAGAAUCUUGAGGAGUGUAAAUGUGUAUUUGUUUCCGCUUGCAUGUGAGUGUGUGUUUUUCUUGUAUAUGUUGCACGCGGAGCCGAGGGACAUCAGCGAUGUCACCACUGCCCCGAUUUCUCACAUCCUUUUUAAAAACACAAAACAGACAAACCUCCCUUCUCCGACACAGCACUCUCCCCUCCAGGGAUGGACUGAAGGAGAUAUGCAAUCGUAGCAAGUGUUUGAUUUUUCUUUUCUUUUUUUUUUACUUCCAUUCUAUAAUUCACUAUAUUUUGCUCUUUCAAAACAUCUCUUUCCCCAAUGACUUAUGUGAGACUUUAUGAGGAACAUUGAAAGUAUAUAACAUAGGUUGAACAUACUACUUGUUAUUCGAACCAUAACUUCGAUUUUACACUUAAAUUGUCAGCAUCAUGACUUUAGACUCCCAAGAUAUGUUGUGGGUGUAUCAGCAAAGGUCCCCCAUAAUACUACUAUUCAAUCUGAAAUGUGUUCAGUUACUGCUGCAGCUGACUUCCUCCAAUGUAUGCUGUGUGAGGAUACAAUCAAAAAAUUCUGUCUCUUAAAUUGCAAUCCAUGAGAACUCAUAAUUCAUAACAGCAUCUGAGGGUGAGGAACAAACCAACAAGGGUUUCUAAGAAAAAGUGGAAUAUGAAAUAAUCAUUAAGUGUCAUUAGAUGAGUUUUCAUUGACAAAUGUUGAGCAAUGUAAAACCGCAACCAGUAAAUGCCAAAUACUUCAGAAAGACUUGACUUUAGACUCGGUAGCCAAGCGACUUGACUGGACUUUGACUCGAACUACUACAUGACUUGACAAGUCAUCUUGUUUAGUGUUGGAAAUCUGCAUUUUAAUUGAGACAGUUUGAAGAACUGAACAAGAAACAUUUUGGGGGGGGGGGUCAUUCGCUCCAACCUUGUAACACAGUCUGCGUCGUGCACUUACCAGUGUGACGUAGCCACCUGCAUGAACAACAAUGGAAGGAGCUCCAAAGACAAUCCAAUUUGGAUUCAAGGAUUAUGUUGUGGUUAGCACAUCUGCCUUACAGUUCUGAGGACCCGCGUUCAAAUCCGGCCUCGCCUGCUCUGUUUUCCUCCCAGAUCCUAAAAAGAUGCAUUGUAGGUUAAUUGGCGACUCUAAAUUGCCCGUAGGUGUGAAUGACAGUGCGAAUGGUUGUUUGUUUAUAGGUGCCCUGCGAUUGGCUGGCGACUAGUUCAGGGUGUAUCCUGCCUCUUGCCAAAAGAUAGCUGGGAUAGGGUCCAACCCACCUGCGACCCUGGUGAUGAUAAGCGCUUGGCUGCCGCCCGCCGCCAUGACGCGAGCGAGUCGCCUGGGAGCGUAAAUAGAACUGAUGAAGCAUUCUGUUACUCACUUCUAAAUCUUCAGCGAACGACCAAUGAGCAGCCAGCAUGGAGGCGGGGGGUCACGGGGCGCUGGAGCCUAUCCCAGCUGACUUUGGGCGAAAGGCGGACUACACCCGGAACUGGUCGCCAGUCAGUCGCAGGGCACAUACAGACACGGACAACCAUUCGCAAUGAAAUGAACCCACGCUGCCCGCACCAAAGUCAGCGGACACGCCAUGAAAAGAUGACACCCAGCACACCAGUCUCCGGCGAGACUCGCUCUUCCCGCCGAGAUAGGCAACCACGGAGUGGCGAGACUCAACUUCACAUACAGACGCUAAGUGAAUCACAAGGCGGUGUCAUCAAAAGCAAGCCACGGACAUUUGCUUUUGCACGCCGACGCUAUGUGAAUUACCAGCACCCGGAGCAUCAAAGCGGAGACCAAAGAUACCUAUUUCACACUAGAACGCUAAAUUAAUUAACUUCCACCACCAGCCCGGAGGAUUUCACCAACAAAGGCAUCUCCACCCUGCUGGGUAUCGCGCCACUUGGCCAGUCAAGCCGGACAAUGGACAGUGUGCUCGCGACACCAACAGGCGACGAAACGGCACUGCAGACGCGGGGUCAUUAAACACAGUCAUUAUCGGACUUGGCUGGGAGUUAAUAUUUUAAGAACUUUACAUGAACGCCACUAGUGACUGUAUUUCUGCAAACUUGAAUCUCUCAUGUCGAAUCUGUUGUCAACUGAACCAGAUGGAAGGUUUUCACUCCACACCACAUUUCAAAUAUUAUUGUUCUCAACAAUUACAUAACAUUUGAAACAUUCGUUACAUGUACUAAAGAGGAUGGGCGUGAGACAAUGCAAAGCGGGAAAAUGGUCUCAUUAUCUUAAAUCCAGUAAUUAAUAUUUUAUUCCACUGGUUUUCAACCACGAAAUAAUUCCAAAAUGGAAAAUUAACACUCAGAGGCAGUCCAGCUCCCCUUUUGGUCCCGUAGGUGGUGGGAAAUGAAGGAGGGAGGGGGUAAACAAUCCCCUUUUUGGCUCACUAUGGCCAUGAAAAGGCCAGAGCUAUGCUCUCUGUGUCAGCUCUUGUCUCACCCGUCCAACUUGGCGAAGACUGGCCCAGGCAGGACGCCCACCCCACCAUGAGGGGGCGAGGACACAUCGGACCAUGCCCGGCUGCAGAGCAUCCUGCAAGCGCUCCGAGCUACCCUUUUUGGGGGCCUGAGCUCACCCCAGGGGAGGACGGCGGCGGGCACAACCCGCCACUCCGCACGUCUUGCGAGCAGAGACACCCGGAAUCCGGCCGUCCUGCCUGGGAACUUUUUGGGCUCCUUUUUUCCUUUUUCUUCUUCCUUUCCGCCAAAUCCACCUGUUCCCCGUGCGGACCGGGCCGGCAGAACACUCGGAAGCUUGACCUGCCUUCCUCAAUCGUGUUCAAGACACGUAAGCCCAACAUUGCGGUCUACUACAAGUACAGAUUAGUGCAUAUUUGGGUUUAAAUUAAUGAGAUCAGGAAUCCCCAGCUAUAUACAUUCACUACACGUUCAUUCUACCAAUCUCACAUCACAAGUCAGUUUCCUUUGCCAAUGUUCGUCUGUACUUUGUUUGUUUUGUCUUUUUCUGCAUUGUUUUCCUGUAGAUUCCCCAUGUUAAAUCAUUAAAUUUUCCAUUAAAUUCACUACCUGCAUUGUUGUGUGUGUUUGGGUUCGAGGAAAGAAACCUCUGGCCAUCUAGAACUCUUAUCAAAAUUUCAGAAAGUGU
Long non-coding RNA from Phyllopteryx taeniolatus (common seadragon), 4285 nucleotides. RefSeq lists it as uncharacterized. The record is from RefSeq and is a predicted model, not a curated record. NCBI's taxonomy places the organism in Eukaryota, Metazoa, Chordata, Actinopteri, Syngnathiformes, Syngnathidae. The transcript has 9 exons.